UUUUUUUUUUUCUUAUUUGCAAACCGAGUUAAAAGAAACAGUGCUUCAACCACUCUUAAAAAUAAUUAAAUUGCACUUGUAUUCUUCAGGUAAUGACCUGCCUGUAGGCAGAAUAGCACGAAUGAAGCCUACUCUGUGCUACCUCUACCUAAACCAACACUUCCAAAUUACGCACAAGUUAAACUCCAUCAGGGCGAAACAUAGCAGGACGAGACCGAGCAGACAACAUCAGCACUGUAAUUCAUUAGUAACAUUGCAAACUCACACACAGACUCCGGUUAAUGCUGAGACACCACACGGAUUACAAUACCUGAGAUUUAGUGCAUUCCUUUGAGCCAGAAUUGAAAUGAGUGCCGUAGAGGAGGGAAGGAAAAGAGGAACAAAUGUCAGACAUGCUCCACAUUGCGUCUGCCAAAACGAACACUAUGCUCAUCUCAGUGCGGAACGGCAGUGCAGACCAGCCGUGCGCUUUAGCCAUGCACUGGAGGUCAUCCUGACUCAUCCCAGCUACACGGGCGACUCGACUCCAAGACCAGCUUUCCACCCCAGCCCCGCUACACUAGCCGGCUCUUCUCCAAGACACAGAUUCUGUUAUGAACAAUAUGACUCACAGCAAAUGAAGAAUAACAGUUUCCAUCUAAAUCUGGUUUACUGUGCCUAUCAAACAUAUAAAACAAACUUUGUUGUCC
RNAcentral lists this long non-coding RNA (689 nucleotides) under Rattus norvegicus (Norway rat). RNAcentral's name for it is "long non-coding RNA NONRATT015361". Lineage: Eukaryota; Metazoa; Chordata; Mammalia; Rodentia; Muridae. The record is from RNAcentral.